AUACGGAGGGUGCAAGCGUUAAUCGGAAUUACUGGGCGUAAAGCGUACGUAGGCGGUUAGUUAAGUUAGAUGUGAAAGCCCCGGGCUUAACCUGGGAACUGCAUUUAAAACUGGCUAACUAGAGUUAAGUAGAGGGGAGUGGAAUUUCAGGUGUAGCGGUGAAAUGCGUAGAGAUCUGAAGGAACACCAGUGGCGAAGGCGACUCCCUGGACUUGAACUGACGCUGAGGUACGAAAGCGUGGGGAGCGAACAGGAUUAGAAACCCUAGUAGUCC
This 274-nucleotide ribosomal RNA is filed under the name uncultured bacterium. Its description in RNAcentral is "partial 16S ribosomal RNA". It matches the Rfam family "Bacterial small subunit ribosomal RNA", at positions 523 to 796 of the family's 1533-position model. The record is from RNAcentral.